RNAcentral lists this transfer RNA (58 nucleotides) under Nelumbo nucifera (sacred lotus). It matches the Rfam family "tRNA", at positions 8 to 63 of the family's 71-position model. From Rfam's summary of the family: Transfer RNA (tRNA) molecules are approximately 80 nucleotides in length. Their secondary structure includes four short double-helical elements and three loops (D, anti-codon, and T loops). Further hydrogen bonds mediate the characteristic L-shaped molecular structure. tRNAs have two regions of fundamental functional importance: the anti-codon, which is responsible for specific mRNA codon recognition, and the 3' end, to which the tRNAs corresponding amino acid is attached (by aminoacyl-tRNA synthetases). tRNAs cope with the degeneracy of the genetic code in two manners: having more than one tRNA (with a specific anti-codon) for a particular amino acid; and 'wobble' base-pairing, i.e. permitting non-standard base-pairing at the 3rd anti-codon position. The record is from Rfam by way of RNAcentral. Lineage: Eukaryota; Viridiplantae; Streptophyta; Magnoliopsida; Proteales; Nelumbonaceae.
UAGCUCAAAUGGUAGAGCGCUCGCUUUGCAUGCGAGAGGUACGGGGUGCGAUACCCCG